UACGUAGGUGGCAAGCGUUGUCCGGAUUUACUGGGCGUAAAGAGCGCGCAGGCGGUCGUACAAGUCGCGUGUGAAAGCCCCCGGCUCAACUGGGGAGGGUCACGCGAUACUGUUCGACUCGAAGGCAGGAGAGGGAAGCGGAAUUCCCGGUGUAGUGGUGAAAUGCGUAGAUAUCGGGAGGAACACCAGUGGCGAAGGCGAGUCCCUGGACAACUUCUGACGCUGAGGCACGAAAGCAUGGGUAGCAAACAGG
Molecule: ribosomal RNA, 253 nt
Filed under: uncultured bacterium
Lineage: Bacteria
Description: partial 16S ribosomal RNA
Rfam family: Bacterial small subunit ribosomal RNA
Source: RNAcentral